Molecule: ribosomal RNA, 274 nt
Filed under: uncultured bacterium
Lineage: Bacteria
Description: partial 16S ribosomal RNA
Rfam family: Bacterial small subunit ribosomal RNA
Source: RNAcentral
AUACGGAGGGUGCAAGCGUUAAUCGGAAUUACUGGGCGUAAAGCGUACGUAGGCGGUUCGUUAAGUUAGAUGUGAAAGCCCCGGGCUUAACCUGGGAACUGCAUUUAAAACUGGCUAACUAGAGUUAAGUAGAGGGGAGUGGAAUUUCAGGUGUAGCGGUGAAAUGCGUAGAGAUCUGAAGGAACACCAGUGGCGAAGGCGACUCCCUGGACUUGAACUGACGCUGAGGUACGAAAGCGUGGGUAGCAAACGGGAUUAGAAACCCUAGUAGUCC